CCCUUAGAUGUUCUGGGCUGCUCGCGUGCUACACUGAUAUUGCCAAUAUGUCAUUCUUAUCCGAAAUGGAUUGGGUAAUCAAGUAAUGAAAUUUCAUGCUUGGAAUCGGUAAUUGCAAUUUUAUCGUGAACGAGGAAUUCCUAGUAAGCACUAGUCAUCAGCUAAUGUUGAUUAUGUCCCUGCCCUUUGUACACACCGCCCGUCGCUACUACUGAUUGGGUGUUCAAGUGAGAUGCUUAGACCCUUGUUGCAUGGUUCAUUAUUGUGCUCCGAAAGGAAAAAGUUUCAAGCUUGAGUGUCUAGAGGAAGUAAAAGUCGUAACA
This 323-nucleotide ribosomal RNA is filed under the name uncultured eukaryote. Its description in RNAcentral is "partial 18S ribosomal RNA". It matches the Rfam family "Eukaryotic small subunit ribosomal RNA", at positions 1470 to 1796 of the family's 1831-position model. The record is from RNAcentral.